GCCCCCGCCCCCGCCGAGGCCCGGGGGUGGGAGGCCUCCGCUCCCCCCUGGCGCCCGGGAGGUGGAGGAGGGCUCCUGAACACGCAGCCACGUGUAGCCAGCUCCAGGUCUCUUCUCCCUGCAGGGCUGCCUGCCUUACUUGCUGUGGCUUCACGCCAUGCCGGGCAAGGAUCACACCUUGUCUUGUCCAGAGAGCAAGGGAGUGUUACUAGCUUCGUGUUUGAAAAGAUGUCAAGAAGAAACUAAGAAAGUGUAGAAGACUCAGAAAAACCCCCACUGGGGAGGCUGCCUUUUACUAACACCAACUCAGUAAACACCAGUUUGUACACCAUUCCGUUUAAACUUGACAAUGGCCCCAAGACACAGAGACACAGAGAGAGGCAGAGACAUAGGCUGAGGGAGAAGCAGGCUCCAUGCAGGGAGCCCGACGUGGGACUCCAUCCCGGGUCUCCAGGAUCACACCCUGGGCUGAAGGCGGCGCUAAACUGCUGGGCCACCGGCGGUGCCCGUAUUCUGUCCUUUUAAAGGCCAUCCAGCUGGCAGCUGGUCUGCACCUGUGCCACCAGGCCCUGCGCCUGGGCGUGCGGAGACGGCCCCUGCCCUCCGCUCGCUCUCAGCCUCAGUGUGUGGGGUGUGCUCAGGAGAACACAGGCAGGCUUGGACUGGACUGCAGGGGCACUGGGACAGGAGGGACCCCCAACCCUUGACUUUGCAGGCAGAAGGAAUGUCAGCCUUUACUCGUGCUGCCAGGAACAUGCUUCUCACCUCCCCAGCCUCUGCUGGCUGACUCUUUUAUCCUGUCCAUUUACCCUGUGGGUCUCGGAUGAAACGGAUGAAACGUCCCUUCCUCGGGGAAGCAUCCCUGACCUCCAGGUGGCAACCCGUUUACUCCCGCCUAAACCAACACUUACCACGCAGCAUUGUUGUCAUCUGUUUGCUCAUGUUCCACCGGGGACCACAAGCUCUGUGCAGACAGGAAUUCCAUCCAUAUGAUCUAUCUGUGUCCCUCCAGGCCAGAAAUGGCAUUGGGCAUACAGUAGGUGCUUUUCAGAGGCUUGCCGGGUACACUAAACACGGCUAGAAAAGAGGAUACUGGGGCAUAGUGACACGAAGUGAAAGCAAAGAGGUGAGCAGGAGCAGAGCGGAAGGGUCCUCACGGGCCACCCUGAGGGGGACAGCACAGAGGCAAGAUGGGGAGACCACGCGGGAGGAGAGAAGCACGUCAGGGAGAGCCCUCGUGGAGCAGAGUCGCUGAGUGACAGCACAAAUGUCCCCAAGCCGCUCACUGGACCCACAGCCAGAGUUAGCUCACCCCCAUUUGGAUGGAUUUCCUCAAAGGAGAGAGGAACCCCUCGCCGGCCAGAGCCAGCCUGAAUUCUCUUGUGACAACAAGAUAGCAGAGUCAGAGGGAGGUGGUUUACUACUCUGUGUUGGCCCCUCCUUCAGCAGCAUAUGACUUGAGGAGUGUUUGAAACAUCUCAUUGUUUGAAACAAAUGAGAAGCUUCUGGAGACCCAUAACAAAGAGGCCAAGGCUGCCUCAAGGUUGGAACGGGCAUCUCCCUCAGGGGCUUUCCCCUGGGUCAGGGGCUGCCCUCAGCUGCCAGAGCUCACUUCACCUGUGUGCGGGGAGUGCCUGGAAGUCCCAACCCCUCAGGGCAGCCCUUAGCCAGUUGCAGGAGAGCAGACACUCCAUCCUCUGUCCUCAGAGACCCGCUGCAGGACUUGCGUGCGUCAUAUGCCGUCUUUGCUCAGCCUCCUUCCUUGGCUGUCCCACGCCUCAGGCCUGGUCAGAACUCACCUGCGCCGGAGUCCUCAUCUCCAGGCUCCAUCUGGGGAACACAGCCCAUGGCAGUGGGCUAAACCUCACCGUGUUCCUAGACCUCAAGGCAGAAGCAAGUACUCUGCUGCAAGAGGUAAAAGCCCUGCGUGCCUUAACCCAGCUGUACUGCCAUCAAAACCGUGGUCAUCAUGGGUAGAGGGGAGGGGUAACUGCAUGAUGGGCAUUAAGGAGGCACCUGAGGGAACAAGCACUGGUGUUAUAUGUAACUGAUGAAUCACCAAACUCUGCCCUGAAACUAAUAAUACACUACAUGUUAAGUAACUUGAAUUAAAAAAAAAAAAAAGUGAUUAUUGGAGGUGAGGACACACACUAAGAACAAUUUCUAACCCAAAUGGGGCAUUUUCAA
This is a long non-coding RNA of Canis lupus familiaris (dog), 2187 nucleotides long. RefSeq lists it as uncharacterized. The record is from RefSeq and is a predicted model, not a curated record. Lineage: Eukaryota; Metazoa; Chordata; Mammalia; Carnivora; Canidae. The transcript has 5 exons.